GUGCUUGCUUCGGCAGCACAUAUACUAAAAUUGGAAUAAUACAGAAAAGAUUAUCAUGGCCCCUGUGCAAGGAUAACAGCAAAUUUGUAAAGCAUUCCAUAUUUUU
Molecule: small nuclear RNA, 106 nt
Organism: Myodes glareolus (Bank vole)
Lineage: Eukaryota; Metazoa; Chordata; Mammalia; Rodentia; Cricetidae
Source: RefSeq, a predicted model, not a curated record